RNAcentral lists this non-coding RNA (20 nucleotides) under Arabidopsis thaliana (thale cress). Lineage: Eukaryota; Viridiplantae; Streptophyta; Magnoliopsida; Brassicales; Brassicaceae. The record is from RNAcentral.
AGGGAAGUCCUCGUGUUGCA